This 659-nucleotide ribosomal RNA is filed under the name Bacillus sp. (in: firmicutes). RNAcentral describes it as "bacterial SSU rRNA". It matches the Rfam family "Bacterial small subunit ribosomal RNA", at positions 106 to 751 of the family's 1533-position model. Lineage: Bacteria; Bacillati; Bacillota; Bacilli; Caryophanales; Bacillaceae. The record is from RNAcentral.
GUGAGUAACACGUGGGUAACCUGCCUGUAAGACUGGGAUAACUCCGGGAAACCGGAGCUAAUACCGGAUAGUUCCUUGAACCGCAUGGUUCAAGGAUGAAAGACGGUUUCGGCUGUCACUUACAGAUGGACCCGCGGCGCAUUAGCUAGUUGGUGAGGUAACGGCUCACCAAGGCGACGAUGCGUAGCCGACCUGAGAGGGUGAUCGGCCACACUGGGACUGAGACACGGCCCAGACUCCUACGGGAGGCAGCAGUAGGGAAUCUUCCGCAAUGGACGAAAGUCUGACGGAGCAACGCCGCGUGAGUGAUGAAGGUUUUCGGAUCGUAAAGCUCUGUUGUUAGGGAAGAACAAGUGCAAGAGUAACUGCUUGCACCUUGACGGUACCUAACCAGAAAGCCACGGCUAACUACGUGCCAGCAGCCGCGGUAAUACGUAGGUGGCAAGCGUUGUCCGGAAUUAUUGGGCGUAAAGGGCUCGCAGGCGGUUUCUUAAGUCUGAUGUGAAAGCCCCCGGCUCAACCGGGGAGGGUCAUUGGAAACUGGGAAACUUGAGUGCAGAAGAGGAGAGUGGAAUUCCACGUGUAGCGGUGAAAUGCGUAGAGAUGUGGAGGAACACCAGUGGCGAAGGCGACUCUCUGGUCUGUAACUGACGCUGAGG